Molecule: ribosomal RNA, 28 nt
Filed under: Parmotrema reticulatum
Lineage: Eukaryota; Fungi; Ascomycota; Lecanoromycetes; Lecanorales; Parmeliaceae
Description: partial 18S ribosomal RNA
Source: RNAcentral
GGUUCGUAGUGACUGCGGAAGGAUCAUU